CAUUAAAGAAUCAAAUAUGGUGGGCGGAAGAAAAUAGAGAGACUGUGCUGGCCGUUUGAAUAAGACGGCAUGUGCACGUCCCCUCGUCUUUUUCUGUCUAUCAUAUACAACACACCUGUGCACCAAUUGUAGAUUUCCCCUUCGAAAGAGGGAGGCGAUCUAUGUCUUCAUCACACACACUAUUGUAUGGCCAGAAUGAAAAUUAAUAAAAUACAACUUUCAGCAAUGGAUCUCUUGGUUCUCGCAUCGAUGAAGAACGCAGCGAAUUGCGAUAAGUAAUGUGAAUUGCAGAUUUCCAGUGAAUCAUCGAAUCUUUGAACGCAUAUUGCGCUCCUUGGUAUUCUGAGGAGCAUGCCUGUUUGAGUGUCAUUUGAUUAUCAACCAUAAUUCUCGAAAGAGAAUGAUGGCUUGGAGUUGGGGGUUGCUGGCGACCACUGGUCGUCAGCUCUCCUUAAAUGCAUUAGCGGUCGAGUUGGGCUAUCAAGUCUUUUGACAUGCACGGCCAUUGACGUGAUAAUGAUCGUCGUGGCUGGAGUGUCUUUGCUAGACUAUGCUACAUAGAUUGCUUCUAAUAAAAGAAACUUCAUCAAGCUUAGCUACUAGGCAGUCUUUGAAAAGAGGCUGGCGAACACAAGCAAGAGGAAGGGAAGUUAAUGUUGACAAAUAAAUCCUUGAUGAGCUAGCUUAGUUACUAGGCAGUCUUUGGAAACAAAGGCUGGCGAAAGCAAGCAAGUUAACGUUGAUGUCGACGGUAAAUCCUUGAUCUGAUCAAGCUUAGCGACUAGGCAGUCUUUGAAAAGAGGCUGGCGAAAGCAAGGAAGAAAAGGGCAAGGAUGGAAGUUGAUGUGGAUGUUAAUGUAAGUUCUCGUUAGUUAUUAGGCAGCCUUGUUUGAAAUCAAAGGAGGCUGGCGAAAGCAAGCAAGCAAGAGGAUAGAAGUCAAUGUUGAUGAAAUAUUAAUGACUUGACCU
RNAcentral lists this ribosomal RNA (969 nucleotides) under Phylloporus rhodoxanthus. RNAcentral describes it as "eukaryotic LSU rRNA". The stretch from base 215 to 369 matches the Rfam family "5.8S ribosomal RNA". The record is from RNAcentral. Lineage: Eukaryota; Fungi; Basidiomycota; Agaricomycetes; Boletales; Boletaceae.